UGCAGCCAUAGGAGGUGCAGGACGUGCUGCAAGAGUCGUGGUUAUGAUUGCACUACUCACGUCAAAAGCACGUGGGUACCGGCGGCCAGGAGGAGAGAGCGUCAGCUAAUGGCAGCUGCAGCCGGAGGAGGUGCUGGUUCUUCUGGGUCUACUUCCGGGGUCAAGAAACCUCGACUCAUAAAUUCACAAACCACCACAACUUCUCAUACUUCCAC
Molecule: unclassified non-coding RNA, 215 nt
Filed under: Hevea brasiliensis (rubber tree)
Lineage: Eukaryota; Viridiplantae; Streptophyta; Magnoliopsida; Malpighiales; Euphorbiaceae
Source: RNAcentral